GCGGCGAGUGAGCGGCAAAAGCUCAAAUUUGAAAUCUGGCACCUUCGGUGUCCGAGUUGUAAUUUGAAGAUUGUAACCUUGGGGUUGGCUCUUGUCUAUGUUUCUUGGAACAGGACGUCACAGAGGGUGAGAAUCCCGUGCGAUGAGAUGCCCAAUCCUAUGUAAGGUGCUUUCGAAGAGUCGAGUUGUUUGGGAAUGCAGCUCUAAGUGGGUGGUAAAUUCCAUCUAAAGCUAAAUAUUGGCGAGAGACCGAUAGCGAACAAGUACAGUGAUGGAAAGAUGAAAAGAACUUUGAAAAGAGAGUGAAAAAGUACGUGAAAUUGUUGAAAGGGAAGGGUUUGAGAUCAGACUCGAUAUUUUGUGAGCCUUGCCUUCGUGGCGGGGUGACCCGCAGCUUAUCGGGCCAGCAUCGGUUUGGGCGGUAGGAUAAUGGCGUAGGAAUGUGACUUUGCUUCGGUGAAGUGUUAUAGCCUGCGUUGAUGCUGCCUGCCUAGACCGAGGACUGCGAUUUUAUCAAGGAUGCUGGCAUAAUGAUCCCAAACCGCCCGUCUUGAA
Molecule: unclassified non-coding RNA, 555 nt
Filed under: unidentified
Description: sequence contains 28S rRNA gene
Rfam family: Eukaryotic large subunit ribosomal RNA
Source: RNAcentral